UUAUUAUAUUAUUAUAUUAUUAUAUAAUAAAGAUAUUUUAUGUUUUAAUUAUAUUAUAUUAUAUUAUAUUAUAUAAACUAAAGAAACAAAAGAAAGGAAAUAGAAACAGAAUGAAAGGAAAUAGAAACAGAAUGAAACGAAACAGAGAGCAGGGGAGAAAAAGGAAGAAAGAAAGGGAGAAAAGAUAAAAUUGAAGGUUUGAAGCUUUAAGCUUUAAUAGGUAAGUCAAUCAAGCCAUUUUUACUUAAUUUUUAUGUUUUAGAAGUUUUAGAACAAAGUUUUGAUGAAAUUAAGUUGAUAUUUUGAAAGUUAUUAGAUUUCUGGAUAUUUUCCAUGUUAAAUAAAAUGAUGAAUUAAGGGCUAAAUUGAUAGCAAUUCAAGUUAGAAAUGAUAUAAGGAUUGAAUUGUAAAGUGAUUCAUAAGUUUUAUGCUUUAAGGACUAAAUUGAAAGAAUUUUGAAAUUAUGGUUUUAUGAUGAAAAUAGAUAAUUAUGUCUAAGUUUGGUUAAAAAAUUGAGUUGAAAUAAAGUAUGAAUUAAGAUAGAAAAGUAAGUGAAUUUAGUUAGGAUUAAAUUGAAAUUAAAGUAAAUCAAUAUUUUGUACUAAGACUAUUUUGGACAGCAGCAGUAGUCUAUGUUUGAAAAAUCACCAAAAAUUGUAGAAAUUGAAUUAGAGGAUGAAUAAAAUAUGUAAUUAAAGCUUAUUGAGUCUAGCUUCUUAUAGAAGAAAUGGUAUAAGCAAUUGAGUUGUAAAUUAUGAGAUAUAAUGAAUUUUGUGAGAUAAGGUCAGAAUGAAUUCGGGUUUCCCUGUUCUGACUUUGGAAAAUCACCAAAAAUUUAAGAAAAAUAAUUAGAGGCUUAAAGUUAUGUGUUUAUAAUCCAUAAUGAGUCUAUUUUCAGGAGAAAUCAAUGGGAAUAUUAUCCGAGUUCUGUACUGUGAGAUAAUUAAUUUUUAGUCAAGAAGGGACGAAACUGUCAGACAGCAGAAUAGGGGUGAAUUUAAAGAAUAAACUGUAUUUAAUGGCUAAACCAAAAAUUCUGAAAAUUUUAGUGUAAUAAGAUUUGUGAGUCUAGUUUCAAGAAAAAUUAGUGGAUCUUAAUUUAGAAUUCUGUAACUGAAGAUAUAAAUUAGUAAUGUAUUAAUGAUUAUGAAUUGUAUUAAUUUCGUAGUCAAUGUGGUACCGGAAAUCUCGGCUAAGAAAGGACAAGACAAAGUCAACUGGAGUUACCUCGAAAAUUAUGGUUUGUAUUUCUAUAAUCCGAACUUAGUUAUUAUUUGUUAUAUUUAUAUACAUAUUGCAAUUGUUAGUGUUAGAAUUAUGAUGUUUUACAAUUGGAAUGGAUUGAUUUUGGUAUGCGAUGAAUUUAUUGAAUUUAUAUUGAUUGAAUUAUAUAAUAUAUAUGACUUAUGUAGAAAUUUGAAUAUUGAAUGAAUGUUAAUUGAAAAAUAUAUUGAUUGGAAAUAUGAGGAAAUUGAUAUGAAUAUAUGAGAUUGUGAUAUUUGAAUAUUUGGUAUUGAAAAGUAAAUUGAAUUGUAUUGAAUUAUGAAUUAAUGUGCAUAAUUGAAAUAUAUUUGUUGAAUUGAAUGAAAUUGUAUGAAUUGUGAAAAUGGGUAAAUAUGUGUAAUUAUCGGAAUGAGAUAUUGAUGAAAGAAUUAUUAAAUUGAGAAAGUGAAUGAAAUACCCUAUUAACUAGUCGGGCUGAGUCAGAUAUAAUUGGCAUGCCAUAGGAUCUGGAAGUGUACGGGAUUUGCCGGCUUUAUCGAUCAGGCACUUUAUGUGUCGUAUUUCAGGCACCUCGUGUGUCGUAUCAGGCACCUCGUGUGUCGUAUCAGGCACCUCGUGUGUCGUUUUAGGCACUUUAUGUGUCGUAUACUGAUCAGGUACUAUGUACCGUUUUAGGCACAAUGUGCCGUACUGGUGUGUUUGGGUUGGAAUCCGUGUAUCCGUCAAAGUCCAGGUUUGUUAAUAGGGGUAAAUAAGUGAAAGAUAAAUCGAAUAAAUUUGAUUGAUCAAGCUAUUGAAAUGAAACGAGAAAUUGAAUUGAGAAUUGAAAAUUUAUAUGAAAUUGAAAAUAUGAACCAAAGGUUCAUGAAAUGAUUAGAGUUCGAAUUAAUGAUAUAUGAUGUCACUUGAUGAAUUGAAAUGUGAUUUGAGAUAUAUGAAUCGUAUGUUUAUAGUGAAAGCUAUCAGGGAUAGUAAGUUGAUAUAAUAUAAAUGAAAUUGAUUGUUAUUGAAAUGAAUUAAAAUGGAAUAUGAUUGAUUAGUGUAUAGUUGAAUAUAGUUUAAUGAUAUUGAAUUGUGAAUAAAUUAAGGAAAACUAUACCGAAUAGUAAGUGAAAUAAUGGAGUAAAUAAUAAUGGAUUUAGUUAAGAAUUGAACAAUUAUAUUAUUGUGUUUAUUAUAUGAUUUGUAUAAAAUUUAUAUGGUAAGUAGUUGAAAUUUAUCUAUGAAUAAAUAAUUGAAUAAUUGUAAUUGUUAUUAUGAUCUUAAGUAUUUGUUAUAUUAUAAAUUGUUCGGAUUAUAGAAAUACCACUGAGUAUACCAUACUCAGCGUACGGUUUGUUUCCGUGCGUAGGUUAAGUAAAGAUAGUACGUUGAAUCAGCAUCCCAG
Molecule: long non-coding RNA, 2611 nt
Filed under: Gossypium barbadense (sea-island cotton)
Lineage: Eukaryota; Viridiplantae; Streptophyta; Magnoliopsida; Malvales; Malvaceae
Description: long non-coding RNA (GBAR_LNC000278)
Source: RNAcentral